RNAcentral lists this ribosomal RNA (253 nucleotides) under uncultured bacterium. RNAcentral's name for it is "partial 16S ribosomal RNA". It matches the Rfam family "Bacterial small subunit ribosomal RNA", at positions 524 to 776 of the family's 1533-position model. The record is from RNAcentral.
GUCGGAGGAUGCAAUCGUUAUCCGGAAUUAUUGGGCGUAAAGCGUCCGUAGGCGGUUUAUCAAGUCUGCUGUCAAAGGCUACAGCUUAACUGUAGGAAGGCAGUGGAAACUGAGGAACUGGAGUGCGGUAGGGGUAGAGGGAAUUCCCAGUGUAGCGGUGAAAUGCGUAGAUAUUGGGAAGAACACCAGUGGCGAAGGCGCUCUACUGGGCCGUAACUGACGCUGAGGGACGAAAGCUAGGGGAGAGAAAGGG